CUCAGGAUGAACGCUGGCGGCGUGCUUAACACAUGCAAGUCGAACGGUGAACACGGAGCUUGCUCUGUGGGAUCAGUGGCGAACGGGUGAGUAACACGUGAGCAACCUGCCCCUGACUCUGGGAUAAGCGCUGGAAACGGCGUCUAAUACUGGAUAUGUGACGUGACCGCAUGGUCUGCGUUUGGAAAGAUUUUUCGGUUGGGGAUGGGCUCGCGGCCUAUCAGCUUGUUGGUGAGGUAAUGGCUCACCAAGGCGUCGACGGGUAGCCGGCCUGAGAGGGUGACCGGCCACACUGGGACUGAGACACGGCCCAGACUCCUACGGGAGGCAGCAGUGGGGAAUAUUGCACAAUGGGCGAAAGCCUGAUGCAGCAACGCCGCGUGAGAAAUGACGGCCUUCGGGUUGUAAACCUCUUUUAGCAGGGAAGAAGCGAAAGUGAC
Molecule: ribosomal RNA, 440 nt
Filed under: Microbacterium sp. LPA42
Lineage: Bacteria; Bacillati; Actinomycetota; Actinomycetes; Micrococcales; Microbacteriaceae
Description: bacterial SSU rRNA
Rfam family: Bacterial small subunit ribosomal RNA
Source: RNAcentral